Molecule: small nuclear RNA, 132 nt
Filed under: Hanseniella sp. AM-1999
Lineage: Eukaryota; Metazoa; Arthropoda; Symphyla; Scutigerellidae
Description: partial U2 snRNA
Rfam family: U2 spliceosomal RNA
About the family: U2 is a small nuclear RNA (snRNA) component of the spliceosome (involved in pre-mRNA splicing). Complementary binding between U2 snRNA (in an area lying towards the 5' end but 3' to hairpin I) and the branchpoint sequence (BPS) of the intron results the bulging out of an unpaired adenosine, on the BPS, which initiates a nucleophilic attack at the intronic 5' splice site, thus starting the first of two transesterification reactions that mediate splicing.
Source: RNAcentral
GAUCAAAGUGUAGUAUCUGUUCUUAUCAGCUUAAUAUCUGAUACAGUCCUCAUAGAGGGCUCAGUAUAUUAACCUGAUUUUUGAACUCUGGCGGAGUGAAAGGGGCUUGCUCCACCUCUGCCGCGGGUUGGC